Molecule: transfer RNA, 73 nt
Filed under: Cordylochernes scorpioides
Lineage: Eukaryota; Metazoa; Arthropoda; Arachnida; Pseudoscorpiones; Chernetidae
Description: tRNA-Arg
Source: RNAcentral
CGAGCCUGCCAGGAUUCGAACCUGGAAUCUUCUGAUCCGUAGUCAGACGCGUUAUCUGUUGCGCCACAGGCCC